GACGAACGCUGGCGGCGUGCUUAACACCUGCAAGUCGAACGAAGUGGCGAACGGGUGAGUAACGCGUAAGCAACCUGCCCUUCAGAGGGGAACAACAGUUGGAAACGACUGCUAAUACCGCAUACUGAUUGAGCAGAAUGCGUAUGAUUAGCUAGUUGGAGGGGUAACGGCCCACCAAGGCGAUGAUAAGUAGCCUGUGGGAGAGGAUGAACGGCCAGAUUGGGUCUGAGACACGGCCCAGACUCCUACGGGAGGCAGCAGUGGGGAAUCUUCCGCAAUGGACGAAAGUCUGACGGAGCAACGCCGCGUGAGUGAUGACGGCCUUCGGGUUGUAAAGCUCUGUUAAUCGGGACGCGGUACCGGAAUAGAAAGCCACGGCUAACUACGUGCCAGCAGCCGCGGUAAUUC
RNAcentral lists this ribosomal RNA (408 nucleotides) under uncultured bacterium. RNAcentral describes it as "partial 16S ribosomal RNA". It matches the Rfam family "Bacterial small subunit ribosomal RNA", at positions 28 to 526 of the family's 1533-position model. The record is from RNAcentral.